RNAcentral lists this ribosomal RNA (501 nucleotides) under uncultured bacterium. RNAcentral describes it as "partial 16S ribosomal RNA". It matches the Rfam family "Bacterial small subunit ribosomal RNA", at positions 29 to 523 of the family's 1533-position model. The record is from RNAcentral.
AUUGAACGCUGGCGGCAUGCCUUACACAUGCAAGUCGAACGGCAGCACGGGUGCUUGCACCUGGUGGCGAGUGGCGAACGGGUGAGUAAUACAUCGGAACGUACCUUAUCGUGGGGGAUAACGCAGCGAAAGCCGUGCUAAUACCGCAUACGCCCUGAGGGGGAAAGCGGGGGAUCGCAAGACCUCGCGCGAUUAGAGCGGCCGAUGCCUGAUUAGCUAGUUGGUGGGGUAAAAGCCCACCAAGGCGACGAUCAGUAGCUGGUCUGAGAGGACGAUCAGCCAAACUGGGACUGAGACACGGCCCAGACUCCUACGGGAGGCAGGAGUGGGGAAUUUUGGACAAUGGGGGCAACCCUGAUCCAGCAAUGCCGCGUGAGUGAAGAAGGCCUUCGGGUUGUAAAGCUCUUUUGUCAGGGAAGAAACACCGGCUCUAACACAGUCCGGGAAUGACGGUACCUGAAGAAUAAGCACCGGCUAACUACGUGCCAGCCGCCGCCGUAA